RNAcentral lists this ribosomal RNA (441 nucleotides) under uncultured bacterium. RNAcentral describes it as "partial 16S ribosomal RNA". It matches the Rfam family "Bacterial small subunit ribosomal RNA", at positions 338 to 795 of the family's 1533-position model. The record is from RNAcentral.
CCUACGGGGGGCUGCAGUAGGGAAUAUUGCACCAUGGGCGAAAGCCUGAUGCAGCAACGCCGCGUGAGUGAUGAAGGCCUUCGGGUUGUAAAACUCUUUUCAAGGGGAAGAGGAAGGACGGUACCCUUGGAAUAAGCAUCGGCUAAUUACGUCCCAGCAGCCGCGGUAACACUAAGGAUGCAAGCGUUCUUCGGAUUUACUGGGCGUAAAGCGCGUGUAGGCGGUUAGGAGAGUUGGAUGUGAAAGCUCCCGGCUUAACUGGGAGAGGUCGUUCAAAACUUCCUGACUAGAGUUUGGUAGAGGAAAGUGGAAUUCCGGGUGUAGUGGUGAAAUGCGUAGAUAUCCGGAGGAACACCAGUGGCGAAAGCGAUUUUCUGGACCGAUACUGACGCUCAGACGCGAAAGCUAGGGUAGCAAACGGGAUUAGAUACCCCUGUAGUC